This 761-nucleotide long non-coding RNA is filed under the name Equus caballus (horse). RNAcentral's name for it is "lncRNA (ENSECAG00000052764.1)". The record is from RNAcentral. Lineage: Eukaryota; Metazoa; Chordata; Mammalia; Perissodactyla; Equidae.
CAUUCACCUAUGCAGCAGGCAACAAGUUUCUCUUGAUGAAACCAGACAUUCCAGCUCUCUUUUCCUGCCUCCAAGACUCCAAGCUCACCUUGAGAGUUUCCUCGGAAUUGACUGCUACACCCACUUCAAUAGGAAGAUUAGCCCUGAGCUAACAUCUGCUAUCAAUCCUCCUCUUUUUGCUGAGGAAGCCUGGCCCUGAGCUAACAUCCAUGCCCAUCUUCCCCUACUUUAUAUGCGGGAUGCCUACCACAGCAUGGCAUGCCAAGCGGUGCCAUGUCCGCACCCGGGAUUGGAACCGGAAUCGGCGAACCCCGGGCUGCCGAGAAGCUCUAUGUAAUUCCACCCAGGAAUAAAUUUCUAACUGUGCAGAAGAUGAAAAACCCCAUUAAAGAAGAAGUUCUCAAGUACCUGAUAAGGGAGACGAGAGCAUUUACAGCUGGUUGGUUAGCCCACAUCCACCAUGAACUAACCUUUUCCCUUCCAUAGAAGCUGGAGGACGUAAACUGACUUAUCCAGUCUCCCUUCCAGCUACAGAUGGUCAUGUCACAUCCUUCUGGCCAAAGAGACUAAAGCAGAAGUCUGCUGGGGGACAUAUGGGAAACUCUUGCUUCCCUAGAAAAGGGGACACACAUACUUGGGAAUGCAACUUUACGACUUGAACGUGAGCUUGAUGCCUGGAGUACUGUGAAAAUGAAGAUAAGGUCAAGAGAACUUCAGAAAUGUCAGCUCUGAUACCUUUGAGCUGCUGAACCAACACAAGC